RNAcentral lists this ribosomal RNA (253 nucleotides) under uncultured bacterium. RNAcentral describes it as "partial 16S ribosomal RNA". It matches the Rfam family "Bacterial small subunit ribosomal RNA", at positions 524 to 776 of the family's 1533-position model. The record is from RNAcentral.
GACGGAGGAUGCAAGCGUUAUCCGGAAUGAUUGGGCGUAAAGCGUCCGCAGGUGGCAGUUCAAGUCUGCUGUCAAAGACCGGGGCUUAACUUCGGAAAGGCAGUGGAAACUGAACAGCUAGAGUAUGGUAGGGGCAGAGGGAAUUCCUGGUGUAGCGGUGAAAUGCGCAGAGAUCAGGAAGAACAUCGGUGGCGAAGGCGCUCUGCUGGACCAUAACUGACACUCAGGGACGAAAGCUAGGGGAGCGAAUGGG